UACGGAAGUCGGCGCCUGUAU
Molecule: non-coding RNA, 21 nt
Filed under: Caenorhabditis elegans
Lineage: Eukaryota; Metazoa; Nematoda; Chromadorea; Rhabditida; Rhabditidae
Source: RNAcentral